Molecule: ribosomal RNA, 1363 nt
Filed under: uncultured bacterium
Lineage: Bacteria
Description: bacterial SSU rRNA
Rfam family: Bacterial small subunit ribosomal RNA
Source: RNAcentral
AUUGAACGCUGGCGGCAGGCCUAACACAUGCAAGUCGAACGGUAACAGGAAACAGCUUGCUGUUUCGCUGACGAGUGGCGGACGGGUGAGUAAUGUCUGGGAAACUGCCUGAUGGAGGGGGAUAACUACUGGAAACGGUCGCUAAUACCGCAUAACGUCGCAAGACCAAAGAGGGGGACCCUCGGGCCUCUUGCCAUCGGAUGUGCCCAGAUGGGAUUAGCUUGUUGGUGGGGUAACGGCUCACCAAGGCGACGAUCCCUAGCUGGUCUGAGAGGAUGACCAGCCACACUGGAACUGAGACACGGUCCAGACUCCUACGGGAGGCAGCAGUGGGGAAUAUUGCACAAUGGGCGCAAGCCUGAUGCAGCCAUGCCGCGUGUAUGAAGAAGGCCUUCGGGUUGUAAAGUACUUUCAGCGGGGAGGAAGGGAGUAAAGUUAAUACCUUUGCUCAUUGACGUUACCCGCAGAAGAAGCACCGGCUAACUCCGUGCCAGCAGCCGCGGUAAUACGGAGGGUGCAAGCGUUAAUCGGAAUUACUGGGCGUAAAGCGCACGCAGGCGGUUUGUUAAGUCAGAUGUGAAAUCCCCGGGCUCAACCUGGGAACUGCAUCUGAUACUGGCAAGCUUGAGUCUCGUAGAGGGGGGUAGAAUUCCAGGUGUAGCGGUGAAAUGCGUAGAGAUCUGGAGGAAUACCGGUGGCGAAGGCGGCCCCCUGGACGAAGACUGACGCUCAGGUGCGAAAGCGUGGGGAGCAAACAGGAUUAGAUACCCUGGUAGUCCACGCCGUAAACGAUGUCGACUUGGAGGUUGUGCCCUUGAGGCGUGGCUUCCGGAGCUAACGCGUUAAGUCGACCGCCUGGGGAGUACGGCCGCAAGGUUAAAACUCAAAUGAAUUGACGGGGGCCCGCACAAGCGGUGGAGCAUGUGGUUUAAUUCGAUGCAACGCGAAGAACCUUACCUGGUCUUGACAUCCACGGAAGUUUUCAGAGAUGAGAAUGUGCCUUCGGGAACCGUGAGACAGGUGCUGCAUGGCUGUCGUCAGCUCGUGUUGUGAAAUGUUGGGUUAAGUCCCGCAACGAGCGCAACCCUUAUCCUUUGUUGCCAGCGGUCCGGCCGGGAACUCAAAGGAGACUGCCAGUGAUAAACUGGAGGAAGGUGGGGAUGACGUCAAGUCAUCAUGGCCCUUACGACCAGGGCUACACACGUGCUACAAUGGCGCAUACAAAGAGAAGCGACCUCGCGAGAGCAAGCGGACCUCAUAAAGUGCGUCGUAGUCCGGAUUGGAGUCUGCAACUCGACUCCAUGAAGUCGGAAUCGCUAGUAAUCGUGGAUCAGAAUGCCACGGUGAAUACGUUCCCGGGCCU